GAUGAACGCUGGCGGCGUGCCUAACACAUGCAAGUCGAGCGAGAAGGUUAUGACGGAUUCUUCGGAUGACGGAUUAACUGGAAAGCGGCGGACGGGUGAGUAACGCGUGGGUAACCUGCCCCAUACACAGGGAUAGCCAUUGGAAACGAUGAUUAAUACCUGAUAACACAUUUUGAUCGCAUGGUUUGAAUGUCAAAGAUUUAUCGGUAUGGGAUGGACCCGCGUCUGAUUAGCUAGUUGGUAAGGUAAUGGCUUACCAAGGCGACGAUCAGUAGCCGACCUGAGAGGGUGAUCGGCCACACUGGAACUGAGACACGGUCCAGACUCCUACGGGAGGCAGCAGUGGGGAAUAUUGCACAAUGGGCGCAAGCCUGAUGCAGCAACGCCGCGUGAACGAAGAAGGCUUUUCGGGUCGUAAAAGUUCUUUUCUUAGGGAAGAAAAAUGACGGUACCUAAGGAAUAAGCACCGGCUAAAUACGUGCCAGCCGCCGCGGUAAU
RNAcentral lists this ribosomal RNA (498 nucleotides) under uncultured bacterium. RNAcentral describes it as "bacterial SSU rRNA". It matches the Rfam family "Bacterial small subunit ribosomal RNA", at positions 28 to 524 of the family's 1533-position model. The record is from RNAcentral.